This 72-nucleotide transfer RNA is filed under the name Caenorhabditis japonica. RNAcentral describes it as "tRNA-Thr (AGT) (tRNA-Thr-AGT-3-1)". It matches the Rfam family "tRNA". Rfam says of the family: Transfer RNA (tRNA) molecules are approximately 80 nucleotides in length. The record is from Rfam by way of RNAcentral. Lineage: Eukaryota; Metazoa; Nematoda; Chromadorea; Rhabditida; Rhabditidae.
GCUUCAUUGGCUCAGUGGGAGAGCGUCUGUCUAGUAAACAGAAGGUCGCUGGUUCGAUUCCAGCAUGAGGCA